Molecule: long non-coding RNA, 231 nt
Filed under: Mustela putorius furo (domestic ferret)
Lineage: Eukaryota; Metazoa; Chordata; Mammalia; Carnivora; Mustelidae
Description: lncRNA (ENSMPUG00000027432.1)
Source: RNAcentral
GUUUGGAAAGACUAGAAAAGGAAAAUUUCUCAGACCAUGCAGUGGACGUGAUGUUUUCUAUUCUUAAUAUAAGCACAUUGUUACGGAAGGGUACUGACCAAAGGAAUAGAGUUUGAGAAGCGCAGCGGAAGUCCCCUAAGUGAAGCUUGAAGAACUGGAAGAAGGUAAGUUGAGCUUCCCUCUGAGAUGUUAGCUGGCCCCUGGGAAGCUGCCUUAUUUGCAGACUGCUGG